CUGCGGCAUGCUUUACACAUGCAAGUCGAACGGCAGCACGGGCUUCGGCCUGGUGGCGAGUGGCGAACGGGUGAGUAAUAUAUCGGAACGUACCCAAGAGUGGGGGAUAACGUAGCGAAAGUUACGCUAAUACCGCAUACGAUCUAAGGAUGAAAGCAGGGGACCGCAAGGCCUUGUGCUCCUGGAGCGGCCGAUAUCUGAUUAGCUAGUUGGUGAGGUAAAGGCUCACCAAGGCGACGAUCAGUAGCUGGUCUGAGAGGACGACCAGCCACACUGGAACUGAGACACGGUCCAGACUCCUACGGGAGGCAGCAGUGGGGAAUUUUGGACAAUGGGCGCAAGCCUGAUCCAGCAAUGCCGCGUGAGUGAAGAAGGCCUUCGGGUUGUAAAGCUCUUUUGUCAGGGAAGAAACGGUAGGGGCUAAUAUCCUUUGCUAAUGACGGUACCUGAAGAAUAAGCACCGGCUAACUACGUGCCAGCAGCCGCGGUAAUACGUAGGGUGCAAGCGUUAAUCGGAAUUACUGGGCGUAAAGCGUGCGCAGGCGGUUUUGUAAGUCUGACGUGAAAGCCCCGGGCUCAACCUGGGAAUUGCGUUGGAGACUGCAAGGCUUGAAUCUGGCAGAGGGGGGUAGAAUUCCACGUGUAGCAGUGAAAUGCGUAGAGAUGUGGAGGAACACCGAUGGCGAAGGCAGCCCCCUGGGUCAAGAUUGACGCUCAUGCACGAAAGCGUGGGGAGCAAACAGGAUUAGAUACCCUGGUAGUCCACGCCCUAAACGAUGUCUACUAGUUGUCGGGUUUUAAUUAACUUGGUAACGCAGCUAACGCGUGAAGUAGACCGCCUGAGG
RNAcentral lists this ribosomal RNA (845 nucleotides) under uncultured bacterium. Its description in RNAcentral is "bacterial SSU rRNA". It matches the Rfam family "Bacterial small subunit ribosomal RNA", at positions 36 to 878 of the family's 1533-position model. The record is from RNAcentral.